Phoenix dactylifera (date palm) is the source of this 344-nucleotide non-coding RNA. Lineage: Eukaryota; Viridiplantae; Streptophyta; Magnoliopsida; Arecales; Arecaceae. The record is from RefSeq and is a predicted model, not a curated record.
CUUCCUCUUUUUGGCAUCCACCUUCAAAGUUCUCUCAUUAAAGGUUGAGAUCACUUGUUCUCCGCCGCGAAUCUAGGGAGGGUUUUGCCGCCAAUCCGAGCGGGGAAGCUCACCGAAGACGAGGUAAAUAGGAUCAGUAGGGAUGAAGGUUGGUCCAUGCUUGGAGUUCGCACUAGCAUGCUUGGCAAUUUUGUAGAAGAAUUUUAUUAUUAACUAUAAAUUUGUAGCUAAUGAUCUUCUGAAUAUUGAGGUUGAUGGGUUUGGUAUUGAUAUUAGAUUUAGAAGCUCUGAACUAAUUUUAGUUUUAUUUAAUGGACAAUGAAAUUAGAUAUUUUAUUAUUUUA